Long non-coding RNA from Hyalella azteca, 207 nucleotides. RefSeq lists it as uncharacterized. The transcript has 3 exons. NCBI's taxonomy places the organism in Eukaryota, Metazoa, Arthropoda, Malacostraca, Amphipoda, Hyalellidae. The record is from RefSeq and is a predicted model, not a curated record.
ACUGCAGAAUCAUCCCUGUUGUGGAUAUCGCAACAAUUAGAAAAACUACUGACGCUGAAAGUCCAGCGGUUGAUUUGCUGCGCAUUGGUCGGCAGCUGACACAUGCUUGCGCCAACAUCGGCUUCGUGUACAUCACCGGCCACGGGAUACCAGAAAGUCUGAUCGAGAAAGCGUUCAGCAGCACUGGCAAGUUCUUUGAACUGUCCC